UGGUAGUGUAUUGGACAACCAUGGCGAUCACGGGUAACGGAGAAUUAGGGUUCGAUUCCGGAGAGGGAGCCAGAGAAACGGCUACCACAUCUAAGGAAGGCAGCAGGCGCGUAAAUUACCCAAUCCUGACUCAGGGAGGUAGUGACAAGAAAUAAAGACUCGUUGCAUUUAUGAUGCAUCGGGAUUUUAAUGAGAACAAUGUAAAUAACUUAACGAGGAACAAUUGGAGGGCAAGUCUGGUGCCAGCAGCCGCGGUAAUUCCAGCUCCAAUAGCGUAUAUUAAAGUUGUUGCAGUUAAAAAGCUCGUAGUCGAACUUCUGGUUGGCGCAUGCAUGGCUACGGUCGUGUAUGCGUACAGCUAUCCUCUUGAGAACCACCGAGGCCUUAACUGGUCGUUGAUGGGUAUCAGGAAUUUUACUUUGAAAAAAUUAGAGUGUUUCAGGCAGGCGAUUGCCCGAAUACAUUAGCAUGGAAUAAUGGAAUAGGACUUCGGCCCAUUUUGUUGGUUAUUGGACGAAGUAAUGAUUAAUAGGGACAGUUGGGGGCAUUAGUAUUUAAUUGUCAGAGGUGAAAUUCUUGGAUUUAUUAAAGACUAACUAAUGCGAAAGCAUUUGCCAAGGAUGUUUUC
RNAcentral lists this ribosomal RNA (628 nucleotides) under uncultured ciliate. RNAcentral describes it as "SSU rRNA". It matches the Rfam family "Eukaryotic small subunit ribosomal RNA", at positions 326 to 971 of the family's 1831-position model. The record is from RNAcentral. Lineage: Eukaryota; Ciliophora.